GGGGAAAAUGAUCCUACAUAUGUCACUAGGGAUGAACAAGAAAAGGAGGGCCCAACAAACAUGCCAGUCCACCUGCAUCUUCCCAUGUCCAAAGGUCACAGGAGGUGUCCUCCAUGGCAGGCGGCGAUGAGGAGGAGCCGAGGCGUUCUGUUGGUGUGCCUGCUGCUAGACACUUCAGACUUCAUCUCCUACAAAGAGCGUGCUACAGUUUGUCCUACUAAUAAAGUCGCUGACUCUCAAUGAGACUGUUUUCUCAAGGGUAUUAGGAGAAAAAAUGAUUUCCGAGAGCUGUGAUGCUAUUUGUAAAAUACUGGAUCAUGUGGCAGUUGCAAAUCUGUUGUAUCCCCCUGGAAUUUCUCCACGAAGUCAAUCCUCCAAGCUUUCCGCAGCAUAGAGUUUCACUGAAGGUAGGGGUUCCAGUAAUGCUACUGAGAAAUAUCAAUCAAGCUAUGUACUUUGCAAUGGUACUCGCUUAAUUUUAAGCGACUCGGCGAGUGGGUUGUAGAAGCUAAAAUUAUGACAGCAACCAACGUUGGUGAACAUGUGUGCAUGCCAAAAAUUGUUUUGUACAGCCACAAAGUGCCCUUUCACACUGCAUUGCCAUCAUUAUCCAAUUGAAUGUGUCGGGUUAUCCAUAUGCCCCUCUGUGUUAUUGUACUCUCUUCCAUUUUGCUUUCGAUCUGUCAUUCAUCUUGUUUUCUAACAAUUAUCUUUACGGGUGUUCUCUUAUGUUCAGGUUUUUGGUGCCCAUAGGGUUUACCGGCCCAUUCAUGGACUGCUGUAUCCU
Lolium perenne is the source of this 787-nucleotide non-coding RNA. The record is from RefSeq and is a predicted model, not a curated record. NCBI's taxonomy places the organism in Eukaryota, Viridiplantae, Streptophyta, Magnoliopsida, Poales, Poaceae.